AUGAGCGCGGAGAUGGCGGGACACUCAACUCCGGCAUCACCCCCUUCUUAUUUACUCGCCCACCUCUAUGCUCUUCCCUAUAUGAAGCCAUUUGCCCUAGAAAAAAUAAAAAGAAAACUUUCAGGACCUUUUGCCACCGUCUCGAGGCGGAAACACCGGCGGAGCACUUUUGCUCUCCGGCAGAGCAAUUCUGCCGCAGAAACUUUCCUCUGGGAGGGGAAAAUCGAAGCCAUCAUCAUCACCAAUGCUCCUCUCAUCGUGGGAGGCAUCAUCUUCAUCAACAUCUUCACUAGCACCAACUCAUCUAUAAACCCUAGUUCAUCUCUUGUGUUCAACCUUUGUAUCAAACCUCAGAUUGGUACCUCGGGCUGCUAG
RNAcentral lists this ribosomal RNA (375 nucleotides) under Triticum aestivum (bread wheat). Its description in RNAcentral is "partial small subunit ribosomal RNA". The record is from RNAcentral. Lineage: Eukaryota; Viridiplantae; Streptophyta; Magnoliopsida; Poales; Poaceae.